Non-coding RNA from Punica granatum (pomegranate), 1007 nucleotides. The record is from RefSeq and is a predicted model, not a curated record. Lineage: Eukaryota; Viridiplantae; Streptophyta; Magnoliopsida; Myrtales; Lythraceae.
UUUGCAAAAAUAAAAUGAUCCAACAUUGCUCUCCUCUCCGUCUGCAUCCUACCCUCCCAAAAAACAAAUGUAACCGUCGUCCUCUGCUUUUUCUCUUUCCGCCUUUCUGCGCCUCAUCUUCCCUCCAUUUAGUGCCUUCCUAUCAUACUCUUUUGGGCUGAUCGAACUGCCAAGAUAGGCCAGCCCUCUUACUACAUAAUCGGCGCUGCAACUUUUGCCCGCUCGAACAAUUGGCGAUGCUUCUGCUUUCGUCGUACACUUUUGUGCAAACUUUCCGUGCGUUUGGAUAGGAGGGAAAGAGAGGAAAAUGGAGAGGAGAGGAGGGAAGGUUGUGUAGAAGUGAAUCACCCAUUAAUGGACGCUCCGCCAGCAACGAUCGCAAAUCUCCACCCGUUAAGCUCCACUCACCCACCUUUCUGCUUUGUGACACCUUCCCGCCUUCACUGACAACCAUUCUUCGAAAGUAUAGCCACUGAAGGUCAUACAAAAUCCACAAAAAGACCUCCAUUCGGUGCCCAAAUCUAUGUUCUGGAGCUGCUCUGCUUGCCCGCCAAACCUAGAGGACAUAUUCCAAGCUAUUGGCGCAGUACGGAUUAAAACCCCAAAUUCACCAGGGAAUCUCGUCCGUAGCUUUGAAGUCCUUCAACCCACCUUGAUAUUGGGAGACGCAAAAAGUGUGCGGAUGCUCUUGCCUGAUUGGGAGGACCGCAAUAAGAUUAUCAUAGAAUUUUAGAUUUCGCAGCUUCUUUUAUUGCCCCCAGUGUUGUUGGUGAUAUUUUGGAUCGAUAGACCCGCGUCUUGUAGCUGACCUUGUCAGCAUACCAAUGUAGUGAUCGUUUGGGAGGGCACUGCGUUUACGGAAAAAUGCUUUUAUACUAUUGUUGUUUGGGAAUGCGGUCAGCAUUGCUUUUCCAGGAUGCACGAGGAUGAUUUUCCAGUUUGCGUCGGCCACCGUAACUUUCCGGUUGAUGACUUUCCGGUUUUACCCAUUUGAUUUAUAAAUUUAA